RNAcentral lists this ribosomal RNA (240 nucleotides) under uncultured Lactobacillus sp. Its description in RNAcentral is "partial 16S ribosomal RNA". It matches the Rfam family "Bacterial small subunit ribosomal RNA", at positions 122 to 356 of the family's 1533-position model. The record is from RNAcentral. Lineage: Bacteria; Bacillati; Bacillota; Bacilli; Lactobacillales; Lactobacillaceae.
UAACCUGCCCAAGAGAUCGGGAUAACACCUGGAAACAGAUGCUAAUACCGGAUAANAACAGAUGAUGCCUAUCAACUGUUUAAAAGAUGGUUCUGCUAUCACUCUUGGAUGGACCUGCGGUGCAUUAGCUAGUUGGUAGGGUAACGGCCUACCAAGGCGAUGAUGCAUAGCCGAGUUGAGAGACUGAUCGGCCACAUUGGGACUGAGACACGGCCCAAACUCCUACGGGAGGCAGCAGCG